GAUCCUGGCUCAGAAUCAACGCUGGCGGCGCGCUUAACACAUGCAAGUCGAACGAGAAAGCCCGCAAGGGUGAGUAAAGUGGCGUACGGGUGAGUAACACGUGGGUAAUCUACCUUUUGGUGGGGAAUAACGCUGGGAAACCGGCGCUAAUACCGCAUAAGCUCGAGAGAGGAAAGGAGCAAUUCGCCGAAAGAGGAGCCCGCGGCUGAUUAGCUAGUUGGUGAGGUAAAGGCUCACCAAGGCAAUGAUCGGUAGCCGGCCUGAGAGGGCACACGGCCACACUGGCACUGAAACACGGGCCAGACUCCUACGGGAGGCAGCAGUGGGGAAUCUUGCACAAUGGGGGAAACCCUGAUGCAGCGACGCCGCGUGAGUGAUGAAGCCCUUCGGGGUGUAAAGCUCUUUCGGCAGGGACGAUAAUGACGGUACCUGAAGAAGAAGCUGCGGCUAACUACGUGCCAGCAGCCGCGGUAAUACGUAGGCAGCGAGCGUUGUUCGGAGUUACUGGGCGUAAAGAGUGCGUAGGCGGUUUUCUAAGUUUGGUGUGAAAUCUCCCGGCUUAACUGGGGGGGUGCGCCGAAGACUGGAAGGCUUGAGUAUGGGAGAGGUAAGCGGAAUUCCUGGUGUAGCGGUGAAAUGCGUAGAUAUCAGGAGGAACACCUGCGGUGUAGACGGCUUACUGGACCAUAA
RNAcentral lists this ribosomal RNA (690 nucleotides) under uncultured Acidobacteriota bacterium. RNAcentral describes it as "bacterial SSU rRNA". It matches the Rfam family "Bacterial small subunit ribosomal RNA", at positions 15 to 739 of the family's 1533-position model. Lineage: Bacteria; Pseudomonadati; Acidobacteriota. The record is from RNAcentral.